CCUGUUUAUCAAAAACAUGGCUUUUUGAAAAUAAUUUAAAGUCUGGCCUGCCCACUGAAUUUUUAAAGGGCCGCGGUAAUUUGACCGUGCUAAGGUAGCAUAAUCAUUAGUUUUUUAAUUGAAAGCUGGUAUGAAUGGUCGGAUGAGAAAAUAACUGUCUCUAUUUAAUUUUUAUUGAAUUUUAUUUUUAAGUAAAAAAGCUUAAAUUAAAUUAAAAGACGAGAAGACCCUAUAGAGUUUUAUAAAAUUUAAAAUUUAAAUUUUUAGUAUUAUUAUUUUGUAUUUUAAAUUUUAUUUGAUUGGGGCGAUUGAAAAAUUUAAUAAACUUUUUUUAAAUAAAAACAUUAAUGUAUGAAUUUUUGAUCCAUAAAUAAUGAUUAUAAGAUUAAAUUACCUUAGGGAUAACAGCGUAA
This 413-nucleotide ribosomal RNA is filed under the name Monochamus titillator. Its description in RNAcentral is "partial 16S ribosomal RNA". The stretch from base 1 to 205 matches the Rfam family "Archaeal large subunit ribosomal RNA", at positions 1891 to 2143 of the family's 2987-position model. Lineage: Eukaryota; Metazoa; Arthropoda; Insecta; Coleoptera; Cerambycidae. The record is from RNAcentral.